Molecule: ribosomal RNA, 253 nt
Filed under: uncultured bacterium
Lineage: Bacteria
Description: partial 16S ribosomal RNA
Rfam family: Bacterial small subunit ribosomal RNA
Source: RNAcentral
GACAGAGGGGGCAAGCGUUGCUCGGAAUUACUGGGCGUAAAGGGCGCGUAGGCGGGAUGGCAAGUCGGUCGUGAAAUCCCUCGGCUCAACCGAGGAACGUCGAUCGAUACUGCUGUUCUUGAGGAUUGCAGAGGAGACUGGAAUUCCCGGUGUAGCGGUGAAAUGUGUAGAGAUCGGGAGGAACACCGGUGGCGAAGGCGGGUCUCUGGGCAAUUCCUGACGCUGAGGCGCGAAAGUGUGGGGAGCGAACAGG